UGGUCAAGCGGAAUGAAGUUAACUAGCAGAGGACGCUCUGCCGGGAGAAGGCGGGAGCCUGCAAGCGGGCCGCGUCAGUACAAAGUCUUGCAUGCGAGACUUAUUUCCGAGGCAGAACUUCCCUUGACGUGAUGAAUAGUCCACAAGGGCAUGGAAAGUUCAGGGGAGGGUGCCCUGCUGCAGGUGGAAAGAGUCUUUGUAUAACAUAGGAAAUGAAUAGUGUAAUGUAUAACUUAGCUUUGAUGAUUUCAUAAAGCAUGUUUGUUAAUCAUUGUCACUUGCUGUGCCCCAUUGUUGUUUGCUGUGCUCACUUCAAUAAAAGCCAGAAGGCAUCAGAGGGUCUUGGCUACACGCCUGAGCGAGCGGUAGCCCUCUGCUCUACUUCAUCCUGCACGCCCAGCUUGCCUCAGUGCCUCCGUUCACCGAGAACAUCAACAAAUGGCGCCUGAACAGAUCAGGGACCCGAAGGAACCAAGAAGUUCCGGAUUCCGGAUAAAAGAAUCAAGUGAAGGCAUGGCGAGCAAGAGGAAGUGUGAGGAGGCGGGACUGGAAGACCGGUUUGCUCAGCUAACCAUCCAGGGAGGACAAAAUUCGCGUACCGUUGCCUUGCACCCGAAACACCCCUCCACCUACAUGGGGACAGGUGAAGCGCCUAUGCCAGGAAGGGGAGCGUCUAGUGACUGCCCAUGGAAGGCCCUGGAACCAAUGACUCUAAUUGGAUGCCUGGACCUUUUGAAGAUCGUGGGCCUUUGAAACCAGUUGCCAGAAUACCUGUGUGUCUGGGACUAGGGAAUAUCUUGUUUUAAUUGUACUUUGUUAACUUGUGUAAAUAACUCUGUAUCUUUUAAUCACAGUAGAGAGAGCUUGUAUCUAUUGCGAGCCAGAACAGGAGUAUGGUUACCUGUACAGAUGGAUCGACAAUGGCAGGAAAGUUCUCUAGCUGGAGCUCUCCAAGCCAUUGCGGAAGGAAUAUGAAAAAGGUCAAAAAGGUUUAUUGGCAUGCUGAUCGCUGCAAUUCUAGGAUUGAUUGCUGUGAUAGCAACUGCAGCAACAGCUGGGGUGUGGCAUUGCAGCGAUCAGUCCGAACUGCUGCUUUUGUUCAGGAAUGGCAUAAAGAUUCAGAACAGUGAUGGAGUUCUCAACGGCAUAUUGAUGGCGAAGUCAAUGAACAAAUAGCCGAUCUUGAACAAUCAGUAGCUUUAUUAGGGGACCACAUUGUGAGCCUGCAAAGGCGACUACAGUUAAAAUGUGAUUGGAACCAUACUGGUCUGUGCAUCACCCCUGUGCCUUACAGUAAGACAGCUUUCCUUGGGAUAAGGUUAAGAAACAUUUAUUGAACCAUGGCAAUUUAACA
Long non-coding RNA from Myotis daubentonii (Daubenton's bat), 1354 nucleotides. RefSeq lists it as uncharacterized. The record is from RefSeq and is a predicted model, not a curated record. Lineage: Eukaryota; Metazoa; Chordata; Mammalia; Chiroptera; Vespertilionidae.